GUGAGGAAUAUUGGUCAAUGGACGCAAGUCUGAACCAGCCAAGUAGCGUGCAGGAUGACGGCCCUCUGGGUUGUAAACUGCUUUUAGUUGGGAAUAAAAAGAGGGACGUGUCCCUUAUUGUAUGUACCAUCAGAAAAAGGACCGGCUAAUUCCGUGCCAGCAGCCGCGGUAAUACGGAAGGUCCAGGCGUUAUCCGGAUUUAUUGGGUUUAAAGGGAGCGCAGGCGGCGGCGUAAGUCAGUUGUGAAAUCGUGCGGCUUAACCGUGCAAUUGCAGUUGAUACUGCGUCGCUUGAGUGCACACAGGGAUGUUGGAAUUCAUGGUGUAGCGGUGAAAUGCUUAGAUAUCAUGAAGAACUCCGAUCGCGAAGGCAUAUGUCCGGAGUGCAACUGACGCUGAGGCUCGAAAGUGUGGGUAUCAAACAGGAUUAGAAACCCUAGUAGUCC
RNAcentral lists this ribosomal RNA (445 nucleotides) under uncultured bacterium. RNAcentral describes it as "bacterial SSU rRNA". It matches the Rfam family "Bacterial small subunit ribosomal RNA", at positions 354 to 796 of the family's 1533-position model. The record is from RNAcentral.